Molecule: ribosomal RNA, 368 nt
Filed under: uncultured bacterium
Lineage: Bacteria
Description: partial 16S ribosomal RNA
Rfam family: Bacterial small subunit ribosomal RNA
Source: RNAcentral
CCUACGGGGGGCAGCAGUAGGGAAUUUUCGUCAAUGGGCGCAAGCCUGAACGAGCAAUGCCGCGUGAACGAGGAAGGUCUUCGGAUCGUAAAGUUCUGUUGAAGGGGAAAAAGAGCGGAGAGAGGAAAUGAACUCCGAUUGACAUUACCCUUCGAGGAAGUCACGGCCAAGUACGUGCCAGCAGCCGGGGUAAUACGUAGGUGGCGAGCUUUAUUCGGCGUUAUUGGGCGUAAAGGGCUCGUAGGCGGUAUGUCAAGUCAAGGGUGAAAUCCCCGCGCUCAACGUGGGAACUGCCUUUGAAACUGGCAAACUGGAGUGUGUGAGAGGAGAGUGGAAUUCCAGGUGUAGGGGUGAAAUCCGUAGAUAUC